Molecule: long non-coding RNA, 2432 nt
Organism: Brienomyrus brachyistius
Lineage: Eukaryota; Metazoa; Chordata; Actinopteri; Osteoglossiformes; Mormyridae
Exons: 3
Source: RefSeq, a predicted model, not a curated record
UCUAUGGAAACUACUCCCACUGUCCGCUUAACAUUAAUGUAAUAGUACGUACGUUGAAAUUGGCUAAUGAGUUGUAUUACGCUACGUGCGUAUUACGUCAUAACUCGUGCGUAACGUCCAUUUUACCGGGGAAUGUCGAAGACGUGCUAUGUAGUUCAGAUGUAGAAAGUUCUACUUUUCUUUUAAAUCUUAAAGAAAGUUUCAUAAAAACAAAUUGUAUAGCGAAUGUUCAGUACAAUAGGAAGCGUUAUUUUGUUCUAGCAAAUGGAGCCGAGGCAUAACAUUUAAAGGAAUGUUAUUCAAAGAAAGCAAAUUCAGACAGCGUUUGCCUGGAUCAACACCCAGUACUGGGAUGCCUGGAACCUGUGUGACGAGGUGAUCGACUGGGGAGACGGUGUGGAGGAGUGCUCACGAGCGACACCCCCACUGUCCAGGUUGGGGGGGAUAAGGAGGGAUUGGGAAGGGCUACUUGGGAAAAUGUGGAGGUAUCAGAAAGGGGCCUCCAAUGGUGAGAUGGAGGGGGCGGAGGCUGGUAUGAAUGUAAUGCAUAUGGUAAAUGGAGGUGAGGAGAAUGGAUGUGAGGUAGGAGUGAAUGUGGAGGAGGUUAAGGGAGAAGGAGAGAAAAGUAGAGGGAAUGCUUUGGGAUCUAUUGUGUCACAAGGAGGCAGAUCAUGGCUGGAAACCAUUCAGGAAGAAGGAUGUGAGGAAGAAGAAGAAACUGAGGUGGCGUUUCAGGAGGCACAAGACGCUGAGGUUGCCCAGUUGGACAGAUGGUGUCCAUGUGGCUGGUGUAAGGUGGGGUAGGAGGCUUCUGAACCAUGUGUUAGGCCUAGUGCACUUAUGGAUUGUGCCUGUUUGUUAUAAUGAAAUAAGCUUAUAAACUAAACAUAAUAUAUUUUAUAGGUACGUGUUUAUAUCAGUAUCUACAUGUAAAGGGAGCAGACACAGGAAAAAGGUAUUGAAGACCCUUGAUAUGAUAUUGCUGUUUUUGUUUUAGAUUCCAAAGUUAACCCUUUAUUUAAUUUAUCCCUUUUCCCCAAGUAGAAUGAUGCAUUUACUUGUAAUCUGUAUUAUUUUGCUUUGGAGUCGGAAGUUCCAAAAUCACAAGGUAAGUUAAUCGAUUGUAUGUGUUUUAACUACUAGAAAGAUGUAAAUGAUAAGCCUUAAGAUUUAUUUUAAAUUAAUUUAUUGUUUUUUUGUAAAUUAAAAACAGGAACCCUCGUGGACCAAGACUUGAGGGCAUUUGUACAAUCCACCUGUACAACUUUAACUGGUUCUGCAGUCUUUUUCUCCCCACAGCCUCUGCUUGUUCCCUUCUUCUCUUUCUGUCUUCCCUCCAGGAGAGCUCCUCAGGCAUCUCCAGCCUGUAAUUCCUGGGAAAUGCCACCUGCCACCCAUCCUUGGAAGCGUUGCCCAUUCUCAGGAUCUCAUACGUCACCAUUCAUCACAGAGUCACAGCGCUUGCAGACAUCUGGUAUGGAUUAAGGCACAGCCAGCCUGGAUUAAGGCAUCACCAGCCUGGCAUCAGACUCUCCGGACAAUGCCAGCCCAGAGGGGGCUGACCUGGAGGACAUUCCCCGGAGGACAUGGAGUGGGAGCCUCCAGGUCUUGCCCUGAGUCCCACUCCGUGCUGUCAGCCCCGUGGCCAAAGUUUCCCCAGCCGAGGAGGCUAUCGCCGCGACAACGGCAGGGUCAACGGAAAUCCAGUCGUGGGCUGAGGUCCAGGAGGAAAAAACGAGGUUAUACUACCCAGACCUGCCUCCUGAUCCAGGCUUGGUCCAAGAUGGUCUUUCAGGGUAUCCCAUUCAAUGAUUCCCAAAAGGAACCACCUCCGGUCUCCUCAUGGCGGUGGUACUGGCCUGUGCUUUUGUUUUGCAGGGUCCCUGGUGUGGUCCAGUUCCUGUCCUGCCUGCCCCUCGACACCCUCCGACUCUGCCAACCCCUCGCCGUCUACCGAUGCUGUUCUUCCCUUGGCUGCCGCAGACGAGUAGAGCUUCUACAGACCCAGACAGGAUUCCAAAGGCCCCCCUGGCCGUGACCCUUCUGCGGCACCCCGGAGCCCAUCAGAGGCCCUGAACUGUUCACUUUACCUCCCAUGCUACCUAGUGUCUUGCCCCUCCUAAUACCUCAGUCUUUGGUCUGUAGUCUUGCUUCCCCGUGGCUCUCCCUGGUUUCACCUCUUAGCCCGAUUUCACUGUUCCAGCCCAUAUCUUGCCCAUUUAGUCAACCUUACCCUCCAGUUCUCCUCCCUGAUGAGCCACGCUUGGUGUCUAUUAGUCUCACCCCAUGUUCCUCCCCUUCUGUCAGUCACUAUCAGCUUCCUUGUGUUUUCCCAUUCCUUAGUCUGGUAAAGUGCCCAGUCCUAUCUUCUCCAGUUGUGUCCUUGUCUGUUUGCGUCUCUGUGCCCAAACCUGGUGGUCAAUAAAACUCCC